CGGACGGCCCUUCGCGCUUCUUCAGUCUUCUGUUCUGUUCUUCCCCCCUUCUUUUGGUGUUCACUCCGUUUACGUCUCCGUGCGUCCACUUCGUGUUCCAGACUCAGGCUUCCAACGACGAAGUUGUUAGGCGGUUCGACGUGUUCCAGUCACAUAGCAUCUCCGCGUUCGGCGUUCGAGCAGCUCUGUUUGUCCAACAUUUGGGUUCGACGACAACGAGUUCAGUGACGACGAAAGAAGGUCCUAUAUGGGGCUCAUUUGGAAACUCUGAUUUUCCUCCUUUUGUUGGGUGUACUGAGGAAGCCCACUGUCCUGUAGAAUGUGGCACCGUAGCCAAGUGGGUUUUGAAGAACAGUGCCUAGUCAGAAGAUAUGAAUUGGUAUGCAUGAAGAUCUUAGCAAUCAGAAUUAUUCUUCUUAUUUGACCUACGUGCAUGUCUUGACUUACAGAGUACUCUAAACAUAGUUACUAAAUCUGAUGUGUCAGCCUUUUGAAUACAUUUAAAAUUUCCACAUCUGUGUAGACGUGUGUUCCUCAGCAAUGAUACACAUGUUUUGGCAUCAUGGGUUGAAGAUAAAGAAUUAAUUUGAAUGUAAAGUUAACAACAUUUUUUUUUAUGUUGGAAAAAAAAUAAGUAGAUCAUUAUAUUAUUCUUUUAUUAAUUACUGAGUUAUGUUGCUGUGUCUUCAGGAUACUGGCUAAUUCCAAGCCUUGUCCAAGGUGCAAGCGACCAAUCGAGAAAUAACAGGGCUGUAUGCAUAUGACAUGUACACACCCAUGCAUAUGAUUGAAUUUUGCUAGAAAGCUUCUAUACAUGUUUUAGACAUUAAAUAUAUACUGAAACUGUGGUUUUCCUUCAAUUUUGAAUUUUUCACCUAA
Molecule: long non-coding RNA, 879 nt
Organism: Mangifera indica (mango)
Lineage: Eukaryota; Viridiplantae; Streptophyta; Magnoliopsida; Sapindales; Anacardiaceae
Exons: 3
Source: RefSeq, a predicted model, not a curated record